AACGAACGCUGGCGGCAUGCCUAACACAUGCAAGUCGAACGAAGCCUUCGGGCUUAGUGGCGCACGGGUGCGUAACGCGUGGGAAUCUGCCCUUUGGUUCGGAAUAACAGUUGGAAACGACUGCUAAUACCGGAUGAUGGCGAAAGUCCAAAGAUUUAUCGCCAGAGGAUGAGCCCGCGUAGGAUUAGCUAGUUGGUGUGGUAAAGGCGCACCAAGGCGACGAUCCUUAGCUGGUCUGAGAGGAUGAUCAGCCACACUGGGAAUGAGACACGGCCCAGACUCCUACGGGAGGCAGGAGUGGGGAAUAUUGGACAAUGGGCGAAAGCCUGAUCCAGCAAUGCCGCGUGAGUGAUGAAGGCCCUAGGGUUGUAAAGCUCUUUUACCCGGGAUGAUAAUGACAGUACCGGGAGAAUAAGCCCCGGCUAACUCCGUGCCAGCAGCCGCCGUAA
Molecule: ribosomal RNA, 449 nt
Filed under: uncultured bacterium
Lineage: Bacteria
Description: partial 16S ribosomal RNA
Rfam family: Bacterial small subunit ribosomal RNA
Source: RNAcentral